RNAcentral lists this unclassified non-coding RNA (26 nucleotides) under Mus musculus (house mouse). RNAcentral's name for it is "oocyte_clustered_small_RNA9131". The record is from RNAcentral. Lineage: Eukaryota; Metazoa; Chordata; Mammalia; Rodentia; Muridae.
GCCUUGUCCCCGCUGGUCGCCUGGGG